Molecule: long non-coding RNA, 982 nt
Organism: Theobroma cacao (cacao)
Lineage: Eukaryota; Viridiplantae; Streptophyta; Magnoliopsida; Malvales; Malvaceae
Source: RefSeq, a predicted model, not a curated record
AGAUAAAAGAAUUCAUUAAAUCAUUAAUAUAUCAUUCUCUGCCGCGUAGACAAGCUUGCCAAAAAAACAAAACCAAGAACAGCUGUAACCAGAGACUUGAAAAGUUGCAAACCCCAAAGACGAAAAAAAAAAAAGAAAAAGAGAUCAACCUUAUAAACUUGUAUGUAAAAAGCUGCAACUUCCUAAAAAAAAAUCUACCCAAAGCUCCAAAUAUUAAGUUAUUGCUGCAGAUUCAGAAGUUGCUGGAGGACGCAUGGAAAAAGUCUUGGCUUUAGGGUAAAAGUAAAGGCAGUCCAAGUUCAACAAACUUGAGAAACUGAAUUCAACUUGAAGGGGUCUCAUAUCUGUCAGGAUGUACAUAACACAACAAAGAGUUCCCAUGUGGCUGAUGGCGUAGAAUGGCAACCAGUAUUUCAAGCCAACUUGGGGAUUAAGAAUUGAAUAAUAUUUAUUGGGAUGGAGCUCCUCAGCAUUUACAUCAUAAAGUUUCUGGUUAGCCCGCCAUAUUCAGUUGAGGCAACUUUAUUAAAAGGUCCUGCAAAAAGGCUCCUCGUGACUCGUGAGAGCAAAUGGAUGAUGUACGGAACCUGAAUUUGGACUAAGCUUGCUAUGGAUGUUCUGUGGCUGAGAACCGAACAAGUCAACUGAGAAAAUUCUUAUCCAUACCAACAUUUGAAUUCAUUUUUCUUAGCAACCAUUGGUUGAAUUGUCAACAACUUUUGGUCUUCACAAGCAUAGGCUUUGGAAUUUGACUUUGGCUAGAGACACCAUGGUGGAGCAGGAGCAUUGAACAAGAAAAUAUACUUACAUCUCUCCCCCAGGUUCUUUAGUCUUCAGUUAGUUAAGAAUGGCCAUCACCUAGUUGCCAUGACUUGUGACAUUUUCUCUAAUGGUUACAUAAUGGGGCUAAGUUUUUUAUUUCUUCUUUCCUUUAAACAUUGAGAUUUGAUUUUUAUGAAACAAUAUUUUCUCUUAUGGUCAA